This 1443-nucleotide long non-coding RNA is filed under the name Monodelphis domestica (gray short-tailed opossum). RNAcentral describes it as "lncRNA (ENSMODG00000041338.1)". Lineage: Eukaryota; Metazoa; Chordata; Mammalia; Didelphimorphia; Didelphidae. The record is from RNAcentral.
AUGUCCAUAUUUCUAUCACACAUGAUGCAAACAAUAAAUAAUUUCCCCAUAGUCUCCAAGCAGUUCUUGAGUUGUAGUUUCUCAGCUUUACUCUUCAAAACCCUGAGAACAGUCAUGAACCGGUGGACAACAAUGCUUUUCAGCCAUUUCUACCUUCAUUCAAUACUUUGAGUAUUUUUGAAAAGGUUAGGCAUAUUAUCAGGCUCACUUCAUCCAAAGAUGGAGCACAAGAUUUGAAACCCAAGGGAAAGCUCCCCACCAGUCCCUUCAUCCCCAAAGUUUUCUCUUAACCAACUAUACAUGACUCCUGAAAUACUGUUAGAGUCUUAGACUCAUAGGAUUUUAGAAACCAAAGUGGCUUUGCAAAGUAUCUAACCCCAAUGUCUCAUUUUACAAAUGAAGUAAUAAGAUUAAGCCACUUGCCAAGAACAGACAUAAAAUUCAUGCCACUGAGUUGAGAUAUUAUUUCCAGAGAAUUCCUAUAAAAAUGUACUUCUAACUUAAGAGAGGAGUUUUUUGGGUCUUUUUUAGGGAUGGGAGGAGAGUGUGAACCCCUGGUUUCAUUUUUUUUUUUAAAACUCACCUUCUCUCUUGGAAUCUAUCCAAAGUAUUAGUUCCAAAGCAGAAGAGCAAUAAGGACUAGGCAAUGGGGGUUAUUUGGCUUGCCAGGAAGUAUCUGAGGUCCAAUUUGAACCCAAGACCUCCCAUCUCCAGGUCUGGCUCUCUUCCCAGUGAGCCAUCUAGCUAACCCCUCUCUGAUUUCAUUUGUGUGGGAAACUGCUAGGAAGGAAACUCCUACCAAUGCAGAUCAGUAGGUCAGUCAAUUAACAUUUAGUAAGCACUUAGUAGACAACUAAAGGGACAUGGUAGAUAGAGAGCUGGUCCUGGAGUUGAGAAGAUUUAUCUUCCCAAGUUCAAUUCCAGUCUUAAAUAUUCACUGGCUAUGGGACCAAGGGCAAGUCUCUUAACUUUGUUGGCCUCAGUUUCCUUAUAUGUAAAAUUAACUGGAGAAGGAAAAUGGCAAACCAUUCUAAUAUCUCUGCCAAGAAAACCCCAAAAGAACCCCAAAGAGUCAGAUACACUUGAAAAAUGACUAAAUAACAAAAAAUAUUGUGUGUUAGGCCAACACUGAGAAUACAAAGACAGGCAAAAGAUGAUCCCUGCCCUUAAGGAGCUAACCAGCUAAUGGAUCUCGACCUAUAGCUGAGUUUGUGAUUUAUAAUCUUAGGGGGUCUCCUGGGUCACUGGGAAGUUAGAUAGCUUGUUCAGCUAGGAAAUAUCUGAGGUCAAAGCUGAACCUAGGAUCUCCCAUCUCUAAGCUUGGCUCUCCAUCCACUGAGCCACCUAGCUGCCCCUUGGAAUAAGUAUUUAUAUAGCACCUACCAUGUGCCAGGUACUGUGCACUGGGAAUAAAUAUUUAUAUAUAGCACCUACUAUGUGCCA